GGCAGCGCUGCCGGGCACCCGCGGGGCCGCCACCCCUUCACGGCCUCCCUCCGCACGCCCCCGCAGGGAGAACAAGCGGCAGAGAGAGGAAGCGGCACCUCAGCCGGGCUCCCUGGCUGGCCACACUGAGCUCCGAGAGCUUCUGUGCAGGAACGCUGCUCCGUGCCUUCCCUGAAGAAAAACCCGUGACGCUCAUCACCUGAUGACCUUGAUAAAGCAUUGAAGAGCCACCUGUCCGGCACCUGCCUCCAAUAUUGAUCUUGGAGCAUCGUGGCCUGAGACGAUUCUCAGGUCUCCUGUUUGCUGUUCCUAUUCGAGGCACAUCUGAAGAUGGUUAAGAAAUUAUUUUAAAACGAGUGAAAGUCCCCACCUUUCCCUGCUGUGACAAGGCAACAGGACUCCCACUGUCAAAUGUGCAGUCUUUAUGUACAAGCUUGAAAGAAAGGCUGACAGUUCAUGAGAUGACAGGUUUGUUGUCUGCUGUUACUUUCUUCCCCUCCGGGCCAGCUCACCUUUCCUCUUCAGAGCUCCAACCCAUCCCUCCACCUGGUCUCUUGUGUCACGGUGAGAUCCUGGAUAUACCGCACGACACUUCCCACAGAUGGCAGCCCUCAGCCACUCCAGGCAAAGCAAAAACCUCGUAUCCACCCAAGAGCUCUGAAGAUACCAUGAAUGAAGUAAAUUGCUAACAGAAAGAUGGCACCUGCAAUUAAAGCUAACACUCACUCAAAAACUGCGUGAGAACAAAUAUAAAGGCCAAAGGAAUCAGGAUGGCAGUUUGGAAUUCACAGAGCUGCCACGUAAGUCACAUGAAGUAAUAACUGAAAUGCAUUAAAAGGAACACAAUACAAUGACUCAUUAAAUCUCUGUAUGCAAAACCGAGUCUCCAAUUUAUCAUGUACUUAGAUGGCAAGGGUCCAGAAAACUCUGCUUUAAAUCUUAGGGGAAAAAAUCAAAAGAGCUUGUAGCUAAGUGUGGUACAGACAAGAAAAUCCAUUUAUGUAGUCACAGAUGGUACAGGCAAAGGGAGGAAAGAGAACCUUCUGGAGAAGAGAAGGUUGCAUGGAGAAUUCAUAGAAACCUUCCAGUAUCUAAAAGGGGCCUUCUGGCAAGCCAGAGAGAGACUUUUCAUCUUUUCAUUCUUUUCAGGAAUUGUAGUGAUAGGGUAAGAAAUAAUGGAAAGAGGGGAAAUUUAGGUUAGCUAUUAGAAUUUUUUUUCCUUUGAUGGUGGUGAGACACUGGACCAGGUUGCCCAGGGAGGUUAUGGGUGCCCCAACCCUGGCAGUGUUCAAAGCAAGGUUGGAUAAGGCCUUGAGCAGCCUGGUCUAGUUGAGGUGUCCCUUUCCAAGGCGGGUGGUGUACAAGUAGAUGAUCUUUAAGGUUCAUUCCAACCCCUUAGCAUUCUGCUAUUCCAUGAAAACCCCGUCUCUUCAUCGCAGUAAGAGACACGGGCGGCACCACUAAACCCUGUGCCCUUUAAAACUCAUCCUCCAUAAACAGAGGAAGCAAGCAAUGAAUUACCAACAUGUGCAAACCGCAGGAACUGCUGAUGUCAUCGGGAUUAAAGAAAGGCGCCUGCCGAGGCACAACCAAGCGAGACAGCCCAGCGGCAGCACCACUCCACGGCCAGAGCGGGCGCCGGCACCGCCCGGCAGGCGGCCCGGAGAGAGCGAGCGGGGCCGGCGCCCG
Molecule: long non-coding RNA, 1689 nt
Organism: Cyanistes caeruleus (blue tit)
Lineage: Eukaryota; Metazoa; Chordata; Aves; Passeriformes; Paridae
Source: Ensembl